UAGGGAAUCUUCGGCAAUGGACGAAAGUCUGACCGAGCAACGCCGCGUGAGUGAAGAAGGUUUUCGGAUCGUAAAACUCUGUUGUUAGAGAAGAACAAGGACGUUAGUAACUGAACGUCCCCUGACGGUAUCUAACCAGAAAGCCACGGCUAACUACGUGCCAGCAGCCGCGGUAAUACGUAGGUGGCAAGCGGUGUCCGGAUUUAUUGGGCGUAAAGCGAGCGCAGGCGGUUUCUUAAGUCUGAUGUGAAAGCCCCCGGCUCAACCGGGGAGGGUCAUUGGAAACUGGGAGACUUGAGUGCAGAAGAGGAGAGUGGAAUUCCAUGUGUAGCGGUGAAAUGCGUAGAUGUAUGGAGGAACACCAGUGGCGAAGGCCGCUCUCUGGUCUGUAACUGACGCUGAGGCUCGAAAGCGUGGGGAGCAAACAGG
RNAcentral lists this ribosomal RNA (429 nucleotides) under Gemmatimonadota bacterium. RNAcentral's name for it is "Gemmatimonadetes bacterium partial 16S ribosomal RNA". It matches the Rfam family "Bacterial small subunit ribosomal RNA", at positions 355 to 776 of the family's 1533-position model. Lineage: Bacteria; Pseudomonadati; Gemmatimonadota. The record is from RNAcentral.